RNAcentral lists this ribosomal RNA (280 nucleotides) under Parthenopea vulcanophila. Its description in RNAcentral is "partial 28S ribosomal RNA". It matches the Rfam family "Eukaryotic large subunit ribosomal RNA", at positions 720 to 956 of the family's 3401-position model. Lineage: Eukaryota; Metazoa; Arthropoda; Thecostraca; Lernaeodiscidae. The record is from RNAcentral.
UGAAAGUGAAGUGCCGUCNGAAGGCUUGAGCGGAGACUGCGUGCGCAAGUGCGCGGUGCAUCCGCGGGCCGCGCUAUCGGCUAGCUUGUCGGCUUGCCGGCACUGCUGAGGCGUGGACCUAGAGCUCACACGUUGGGACCCGAAAGAUGGUGAACUAUGCCUGGCCAGGAUGAAGCCAGGGGAAACCCUGGUGGAGGUCCGUAGCGAUUCUGACGUGCAAAUCGAUCGUCUGAGCUGGGUAUAGGGGCGAAAGACCAAUCGAACCAUCUAGUAGCUGGUU